RNAcentral lists this microRNA precursor (103 nucleotides) under Marmota monax (woodchuck). Lineage: Eukaryota; Metazoa; Chordata; Mammalia; Rodentia; Sciuridae. The record is from RNAcentral.
AGAGAAAUAGCUGGGUCAAUUGGUGGUUCCAUUCCAAUUUUUCCAAGGAAUCUCCAUAUUGCUUUCCAAAUUUGCUGCACCAAUUUGCAGUCCCACCAGCAGG